This 399-nucleotide ribosomal RNA is filed under the name uncultured bacterium. RNAcentral describes it as "bacterial SSU rRNA". It matches the Rfam family "Bacterial small subunit ribosomal RNA", at positions 358 to 774 of the family's 1533-position model. The record is from RNAcentral.
GGAAUAUUGCACAAUGGGGGAAACCCUGAUGCAGCGACGCCGCGUGAGUGAAGAAGUAUUUCGGUAUGUAAAGCUCUACCGGCAGGGAAGAAAAUGACGGUACCUGAUUAAGAAGCCCCGGCUAACUACGUGCCAGCAGCCGCGGUAAUACGUAGGGGGCAAGCGUUAUCCGGAUUUACUGGGUGUAAAGGGAGCGUAGACGGUGAUGCAAGUCAGAAGUGAAAGCCCGGGGCUCAACUCCGGGACUGCUUUUGAAACUGUAUGACUGGAGUGCAGGAGAGGUAAGCGGAAUUCCUGGUGUAGCGGUGAAAUGCGUAGAUAUCAGGAGGAACACCAGUGGCGAAGGCGGCUUACAGGACUGUAACUGACGUUGAGGCUCGAAAGCGUGGGGAGCAAACA